Small nuclear RNA from Magnolia sinica, 153 nucleotides. RefSeq annotates it as U4 spliceosomal RNA. The transcript has a single exon. NCBI's taxonomy places the organism in Eukaryota, Viridiplantae, Streptophyta, Magnoliopsida, Magnoliales, Magnoliaceae. The record is from RefSeq and is a predicted model, not a curated record.
AUCUUUGCGCGUGGGGCAAUGGCGUAGGUAGUGAGGUUAUAACUGCGGCGCGUCAAUUGUGGUUGAAAACUAUUUCCAAACCCCCGCUUUGGCCUGGGUCCAGCCUUUUGCCAAUAAUUUCUGGAACGGCCGCCUCUAAUCAAGGAUAAGGCC